RNAcentral lists this ribosomal RNA (1404 nucleotides) under Salmonella enterica. RNAcentral describes it as "partial 23S ribosomal RNA". It matches the Rfam family "Bacterial large subunit ribosomal RNA", at positions 1557 to 2925 of the family's 2925-position model. The record is from RNAcentral. Lineage: Bacteria; Pseudomonadati; Pseudomonadota; Gammaproteobacteria; Enterobacterales; Enterobacteriaceae.
UGAGGCGUGAUGACGAGGCACUACGGUGCUGAAGCAACAAAUGCCCUGCUUCCAGGAAAAGCCUCUAAGCAUCAGGUAACAUCAAAUCGUACCCCAAACCGACACAGGUGGUCAGGUAGAGAAUACCAAGGCGCUUGAGAGAACUCGGGUGAAGGAACUAGGCAAAAUGGUGCCGUAACUUCGGGAGAAGGCACGCUGACACGUAGGUGAAGUGAUUUACUCAUGGAGCUGAAGUCAGUCGAAGAUACCAGCUGGCUGCAACUGUUUAUUAAAAACACAGCACUGUGCAAACACGAAAGUGGACGUAUACGGUGUGACGCCUGCCCGGUGCCGGAAGGUUAAUUGAUGGGGUCAGCGCAAGCGAAGCUCCUGAUCGAAGCCCCGGUAAACGGCGGCCGUAACUAUAACGGUCCUAAGGUAGCGAAAUUCCUUGUCGGGUAAGUUCCGACCUGCACGAAUGGCGUAAUGAUGGCCAGGCUGUCUCCACCCGAGACUCAGUGAAAUUGAACUCGCUGUGAAGAUGCAGUGUACCCGCGGCAAGACGGAAAGACCCCGUGAACCUUUACUAUAGCUUGACACUGAACAUUGAGCCUUGAUGUGUAGGAUAGGUGGGAGGCUUUGAAGUGUGGACGCCAGUCUGCAUGGAGCCGGCCUUGAAAUACCACCCUUUAAUGUUUGAUGUUCUAACGUGGACCCGUGAUCCGGGUUGCGGACAGUGUCUGGUGGGUAGUUUGACUGGGGCGGUCUCCUCCUAAAGAGUAACGGAGGAGCACGAAGGUUGGCUAAUCCUGGUCGGACAUCAGGAGGUUAGUGCAAUGGCAUAAGCCAGCUUGACUGCGAGCGUGACGGCGCGAGCAGGUGCGAAAGCAGGUCAUAGUGAUCCGGUGGUUCUGAAUGGAAGGGCCAUCGCUCAACGGAUAAAAGGUACUCCGGGGAUAACAGGCUGAUACCGCCCAAGAGUUCAUAUCGACGGCGGUGUUUGGCACCUCGAUGUCGGCUCAUCACAUCCUGGGGCUGAAGUAGGUCCCAAGGGUAUGGCUGUUCGCCAUUUAAAGUGGUACGCGAGCUGGGUUUAGAACGUCGUGAGACAGUUCGGUCCCUAUCUGCCGUGGGCGCUGGAGAACUGAGGGGGGCUGCUCCUAGUACGAGAGGACCGGAGUGGACGCAUCACUGGUGUUCGGGUUGUCAUGCCAAUGGCACUGCCCGGUAGCUAAAUGCGGAAGAGAUAAGUGCUGAAAGCAUCUAAGCACGAAACUUGCCCCGAGAUGAGUUCUCCCUGAGACUUUAGGUCUCCUGAAGGAACGUUGAAGACGACGACGUUGAUAGGCCGGGUGUGUAAGCGCAGCGAUGCGUUGAGCUAACCGGUACUAAUGAACCGUGAGGCUUAACCUUACAACGCCGAAG